CAAGCAGCACCUCAGGAACCUUCUCACCCACGAUGACCCUACCAACUUCCAGGGUCAGGGCUUUCAAGAACGACUGGCUGAGGGCCGCAGGCUGGUGGAGCGCCUUGCCCGAAAGCUCAGCCCAGAAAAUCAUGCAGAGGAGGAGAACAAAGAAGAAAAAGCAUCAAUGGACCCCAGCCUGAGCACAGAGCUACAGGAAAAAGAGAGUGUCAAUGAAGCCCUGAAGGGGUCACUGGAUGAAGGCCCUGUGACUUCUUCCAGUAACCAGUACCCAUCUGAUUCCCAUGAGCCUCCCAGCACCAAUGUUUUCUUGUCUGAGGAGCACGAAGACUUCUCUGCUCUGGUUGCAGCUACUGAGAACUCACAUCAACAGGAGAAGAAAGCUCCAACAGGUCUCCCAGGUAGUGUCCAUAUUCAUGUUCCCCACGUCCAUGUCCGGGUCAAGAUAUGUCAUCUCUUCAGUCUGGCCCUAGAGACUUAACUUGGUUUGAAUCAGAAUCUAGGACUCAGUUUUAAGCACACACAUCAGGUGGGUCAGGUAGUUCAACACUCUUCCGAGUCCCAGGCCAAAUCUCUGUCCUCCCCGUUACCAUGCCUGCUCCGCUCCAAACAGCAG
RNAcentral lists this long non-coding RNA (616 nucleotides) under Equus asinus (donkey). Its description in RNAcentral is "lncRNA (ENSEASG00005028783.1)". The record is from RNAcentral. Lineage: Eukaryota; Metazoa; Chordata; Mammalia; Perissodactyla; Equidae.